This 261-nucleotide ribosomal RNA is filed under the name uncultured bacterium. RNAcentral's name for it is "partial 16S ribosomal RNA". It matches the Rfam family "Bacterial small subunit ribosomal RNA", at positions 524 to 784 of the family's 1533-position model. The record is from RNAcentral.
UACGUAGGGUGCAAGCGUUAAUCGGAAUUACUGGGCGUAAGGUGUGCGCAGGCGGUUUUGUAAGUCUGUCGUGAAAUCCCCGGGCUCAACCUGGAAUUGCGAUGGAGACUGCAAGGCUAGAAUCUGGCAGAGGGGGUAGGAAUUCCACGUGUAGCAGUGAAAUGCGUAGAGAUGUGGAGGAACACCGAUGGCGAAGGCAGCCCCCUCGGGUCAAGAUUGACGCUCAUGCACGAAAGCGUGGGGAGCAAACAGGAUUAGAAA